RNAcentral lists this transfer RNA (74 nucleotides) under Bowdeniella nasicola. RNAcentral's name for it is "Actinomyces nasicola tRNA_Pro_TGG". It matches the Rfam family "tRNA". From Rfam's summary of the family: Transfer RNA (tRNA) molecules are approximately 80 nucleotides in length. Their secondary structure includes four short double-helical elements and three loops (D, anti-codon, and T loops). Further hydrogen bonds mediate the characteristic L-shaped molecular structure. tRNAs have two regions of fundamental functional importance: the anti-codon, which is responsible for specific mRNA codon recognition, and the 3' end, to which the tRNAs corresponding amino acid is attached (by aminoacyl-tRNA synthetases). tRNAs cope with the degeneracy of the genetic code in two manners: having more than one tRNA (with a specific anti-codon) for a particular amino acid; and 'wobble' base-pairing, i.e. permitting non-standard base-pairing at the 3rd anti-codon position. Lineage: Bacteria; Bacillati; Actinomycetota; Actinomycetes; Actinomycetales; Actinomycetaceae. The record is from RNAcentral.
CGGGGUGUAGCGCAGCUUGGUAGCGCACCUGCUUUGGGAGCAGGGGGUCGCAGGUUCAAAUCCUGUCACCCCGA